UGGGGGAUAUUGCGCAAUGGGGGAAACCCUGACGCAGCAACGCCGCGUGAAGGAAGAAGGUUUUCGGAUUGUAAACUUCUUUUGUUAAGGACGAAAAACGACGGUACUUAACGAAUAAGCUCCGGCUAACUACGUGCCAGCAGCCGCGGUAAUACGUAGGGAGCGAGCGUUGUCCGGAUUUACUGGGUGUAAAGGGUGCGUAGGCGGCUGAUCAAGUCAGAUGUGAAAUGCACAGGCUUAACCUGUGAGCUGCAUUUGAAACUGGUCAGCUUGAGUGAAGUAGAGGUAGGCGGAAUUCCCGGUGUAGCGGUGAAAUGCGUAGAGAUCGGGAGGAACACCAGUGGCGAAGGCGGCCUACUGGGCUUUAACUGACGCUGAGGCACGAAAGCGUGGGUAGCAA
RNAcentral lists this ribosomal RNA (400 nucleotides) under uncultured bacterium. RNAcentral describes it as "bacterial SSU rRNA". It matches the Rfam family "Bacterial small subunit ribosomal RNA", at positions 355 to 771 of the family's 1533-position model. The record is from RNAcentral.